This is a long non-coding RNA of Heterocephalus glaber (naked mole-rat), 1595 nucleotides long. NCBI's taxonomy places the organism in Eukaryota, Metazoa, Chordata, Mammalia, Rodentia, Bathyergidae. The record is from Ensembl.
UUGACUUUGUGUUUUUCUUCUUUUCUAAAGUAGGCAUACAGUGCUAUAAAUUUCCUUUGAAGCACUACUUUUAGACGGUGGUGUUAUUUUCACUAAAUUUGUUUUUAGUUUCUUGAUUUUCUUUUGGUACCAAGCAUUGAACUCAGGACCUUGCACUUGUGAGGCAGGCAUGGUGCCACUGAGCUAAAUCCCCUGCCCUUGAGAUUUUUUUUUUUUUUUUUUGGUGCCAGGGAUUGAACUUGGGUCCUUGCGCUUGCACAGCAGGCGGCGAAACCACUGAGCUAAAUCCCUGGCGAGAUUUAUUUUUUGACCCAUGUACAAUUUAUAGUAUGUUGUUUAACCUCAUCCAUUUGGAGAUUUUCCAUUAUCUUUCUGUUACCGGGUUCGUUUAAUUCCAGCAUGGUAUAUACUUUAUCGCCCAGAAAGUCAAGGUGAAGAUACCAAGGGAUUUGCCCACUCCUCCUGGUGGUACCUGCUGUGUCAACGCACAGGGUGGAGGGGACAGAGCUUGCCCGGGAGCCACUUGGCAGGAGACCACACCAGGCCUGCACCAGAGGCCUCCGAUCGUCUCACUGGAAACUACAACUGAGGGGGUGGCCGUUUAGCUCCAUCCAUGGUAUUGCAACUUCAUAAUAUGAAAUACAACUGUAUUUUCUCCUUCUUUCUCACCCAUCUAUACAGAAAUUGGGUUCAAGUUCACCUAACAUAUUAUUCCAGGUGUGUAUUUUAUAUUUAUGUCUUCAUUCUGGAUCACAAGCUUCUUGAAGGAGCAGAAGUUUAUUCAUACUUUUAUUCCCACCAAUAAGAAUGGUUUUAGAUCCAUAAGGUAAAAGUAUUUUUAGCAACUUAAUUACCACAGAGGCAGGAUUAUGCUAGAAUUUUCUUUUCACCAGCCCUGUAGAGUAGAAAACAAGCCGCAUCUUAUGUAAAAUAUACAAACAGGUAUGAACUCCAUAUUCCUGUUCUGUGACCAGACUGGCUGACUUGGGUUGAGGAGAAAUGUGCUAUUGCAGAGACUGGUGUCAUUUGAGGACAUGGCAGCAUUUGGACAAUGCUCAGAGGACCCUGUACAGGGAUGUGAUGCUGGAGACCUACCGCAGCCUGGUGUCAUUGGAUGAGCCAACAUCUUCUCAGGAUCCAUUCAUACUGCUUCCUACUGUUGAGGUAGAAGGCUCCGGACCGUGAAGAAUGUGUCAUCCCUCUCAGCAGAUCAGAUUGGCAUCUUCAUGGCACAGCUCCUCAGUCUGAGCUCUUGUCAGUUUUCAAAGGACCUGAGUUAGCAGUUGGCAAAACCCGACAUUAUUUCUCGUGAACAGGGCAUCUCAUGACUAAACCUGAGGUGAUCUUCAAGUUAGAGCAGGCAGUAGAGCCAUGGGUGAUGAGAAAACCCUCAGACCCGAGCCUGCCAGGUCAGUGUGUGUGUCACGGCCAGAAGGGCCAGGAAGCCUGGGGCCCAGCAGAUUUGGCAGUGUGGCUGUUUGUAGCUGUUUUGUCCAGACCUGAGGACACGUGGUCUGUGUGCAUCAAACAUAUUCCCACCUUUUUGUCUGCUUGGUAUUUUCUUACAUUUAUCCCAACUAGACUCUCUACCUACC